AGUGAACGCUGGCGGCAGGCCUAACACAUGCAAGUCGAGCGGCAGCGCGGGGGCAACCCUGGCGGCGAGCGGCGGACGGGUGAGGAAUUCGUCGGAAUCUGCCUUCUUGUGGGGGAUAACGUAGGGAAACUUACGCUAAUACCGCAUACGGCCUACGGGAGAAAGUGGGGGACCGCAAGGCCUCACGCAGAAAGAUGAGCCGACGACCGAUUAGCUGGUUGGUGGGGUAAAGGCCGACCAAGGCGACGAUCGGUAGCUGGUCUGAGAGGAUGAUCAGCCACCAUGGGGCGGAGACACGGCCCAGACUACUACGGGAGGCAGCAGUGGGGAAUAUUGGACAAUGGGCGGAAGCCUGAUCCAGCCAUGCCGCGUGUGUGAAGAAGGCCUUCGGGUUGUAAAGCACUUUUGUCCGGAAAGAAAUCCCUGGAGCUAAUACCUUCGGGGGAUGACGGUACCGGAAGAAUAAGCACCGGCUAACUUCGUG
This 484-nucleotide ribosomal RNA is filed under the name uncultured bacterium. RNAcentral's name for it is "partial 16S ribosomal RNA". It matches the Rfam family "Bacterial small subunit ribosomal RNA", at positions 30 to 507 of the family's 1533-position model. The record is from RNAcentral.